AGCAGCCGCGGUAAUUCCAGCUCCAAUAGCGUAUAUUAAAGUUGUUGCAGUUAAAAAGCUCGUAGUUGAAUUUCGGAGUUUAUCGGUUGGUCGGGCUUCACUGUCCGCACUGGCCUGAUGGAUUCCUACCUUCUGAAUAACCAGCAUGCUAUUAAUUUAGUGCGUUGGGGAAGCAGAGCUAUUACCUUGAAAAAAUUAGAGUGCUUAAAGCAGGCUUAUGCUUGAAUAGAUUAGCAUGGAAUAAUAAAAUAGGACGGCUUGGUUCUAUUUUGUUGGUUUCUAGGAUCACCGUAAUGAUUAAUAGGGAUAGUUGGGGGCAUUAGUAUUCAAUUGUCAGAGGUGAAAUUCUUGGAUUUAUUGAAGACUAACUUCUGCGAAAGCAUUUGCCAAGGAUGUUUUCAUUAAUCAAGAACGAAAGUUAGGGGAUCGAAGACGAUCAGAUACCGUCGUAGUCUUAACCAUAAACUAUGCCGACUAGGGAUCGGACGAUGUUAAUUUUUUAAUGACUCGUUCGGCGCCUUACG
This 524-nucleotide ribosomal RNA is filed under the name uncultured Acaulosporaceae. RNAcentral describes it as "SSU rRNA". It matches the Rfam family "Eukaryotic small subunit ribosomal RNA", at positions 569 to 1092 of the family's 1831-position model. Lineage: Eukaryota; Fungi; Glomeromycota; Glomeromycetes; Diversisporales; Acaulosporaceae. The record is from RNAcentral.